GACGAACGCUGGCGGCGUGCUUAACACAUGCAAGUCGAACGGAAAGGCCCUGCUUUUGUGGGGUGCUCGAGUGGCGAACGGGUGAGUAACACGUGAGUAACCUGCCCUUGACUUUGGGAUAACUUCAGGAAACUGGGGCUAAUACCGGAUAGGAGCUCCUGCUGCAUGGUGGGGGCUGGAAAGUUUCGGCGGUUGGGGAUGGACUCGCGGCUUAUCAGCUUGUUGGUGGGGUAGUGGCUUACCAAGGCUUUGACGGGUAGCCGGCCUGAGAGGGUGACCGGCCACAUUGGGACUGAGAUACGGCCCAGACUCCUACGGGAGGCAGCAGUGGGGAAUAUUGCACAAUGGGCGGAAGCCUGAUGCAGCAACGCCGCGUGCGGGAUGACGGCCUUCGGGUUGUAAACCGCUUUCGCCUGUGACGAUGCGUGAGUGACGGUAAUGGGUAAAGAAGCACCGGCUAACUACGUG
RNAcentral lists this ribosomal RNA (468 nucleotides) under uncultured bacterium. Its description in RNAcentral is "partial 16S ribosomal RNA". It matches the Rfam family "Bacterial small subunit ribosomal RNA", at positions 28 to 507 of the family's 1533-position model. The record is from RNAcentral.